GUGGGGAAUAUUGGACAAUGGGCGAAAGCCUGAUCCAGCCAUGCCGCGUGUGUGAAGAAGGUCUUCGGAUUGUAAAGCACUUUAAGUUGGGAGGAAGGGCAGUAAGUUAAUACCUUGCUGUUUUGACGUUACCAACAGAAUAAGCACCGGCUAACUUCGUGCCAGCAGCCGCGGUAAUACGAAGGGUGCAAGCGUUAAUCGGAAUUACUGGGCGUAAAGCGCGCGUAGGUGGUUCAGCAAGUUGGAGGUGAAAUCCCCGGGCUCAACCUGGGAACUGCCUCCAAAACUACUGAGCUAGAGUACGGUAGAGGGUAGUGGAAUUUCCUGUGUAGCGGUGAAAUGCGUAGAUAUAGGAAGGAACACCAGUGGCGAAGGCGACUACCUGGACUGAUACUGACACUGAGGUGCGAAAGCGUGGGGAGCAAACAGGAUUAGAAACCCGGGUAGUCC
This 450-nucleotide ribosomal RNA is filed under the name uncultured bacterium. Its description in RNAcentral is "bacterial SSU rRNA". It matches the Rfam family "Bacterial small subunit ribosomal RNA", at positions 354 to 796 of the family's 1533-position model. The record is from RNAcentral.